This 72-nucleotide transfer RNA is filed under the name Drilus concolor. Its description in RNAcentral is "partial tRNA-Ser". Lineage: Eukaryota; Metazoa; Arthropoda; Insecta; Coleoptera; Elateridae. The record is from RNAcentral.
UUAAAGAAAUAGGAAAACCAAGGAAAAGCUUCUAACUUUUACCUUUAGCAGUGAAAUUCUGUUAUUGUUUCU